UCUCCAUGAAAAAAUAAAUGCAAGGAAAUUUCAAACUGCGCGAAGAUGCGCAGUUCUGUAUCCUGUGUUAACUACCUACAUACCUAGGUAGAAUGAUCUUGAAUGUGGAUCCAGACAGACUCUCUUUAUCAAAGGAUUUUCUCACAAAAUGACAGAUGACCCAGCAGCUAAAAAUACAUCCUUUACGAUUUUGUUUUCAGUUCCUUCACCCACCUCGACCAUGCCAUAUAGGUAUACGUGUUAGGGGACCAGGGAUUUUUGCUAUCGAAACAUUCUGCGAGAAAGGGAGCUACGACCCAGGCAAAAUGACAAAUAUUCGGAUAAAUUUCAGGAAGAAUAUUUUCUCGUCCACUCACUCACACGAAACACAAAACAAAAACAUACAUUAUGCAAACAAAGUGAAACAUUUACCUUGGAAACACAGAAAACCCUGCAAAUAAACGAACAGUGGGGUCAGGAAACAUAUCUUGAUAGGAAAAAGAAAGGAUGGAUAAAAAACUAUGAAAGAGAGAAACACAGGUUUCACAAUAUACAAUGUUUUCCUGUAUGCUUGUUUGACAACCAUACAUAGCAACAGACAGCAAUGUACAACAAGGCCACAUCCCUUCUAGAAAGUUCGACAGAAAAAUGGCAGGAGGGCAAAGAGGUCACAUUAGUCCACAGGGUCUGUGUGGACAGGAUACUACAGGGGCAUUGUCUUAGAACUCCCGUUUGUACAAAGAUAUUCCACAUGAAUAUUCCGGUAAACCAAUCUCAGUUUGCUCCUGGAUGAUCCAUGGAGGUAUUCUUGGAAACACAACACUCCUCGGCAACAUUCCCGGCAUGCAUAUUCAUGGCUAACUGUAAGUGGUGUCCAGACGUAGGACUCAGCUGAGUGGUGUAUAGACAAAACUGCUCGAGAACAAUGGCCUGUUACUUCUGUCCACCUACCACCCACCACUCAACCACCCCGGGUCUGUGUAAACCUUAAAGUUUUCUUUCAAAAGUCCCCCGUGUAAAAAAGAAUAAUGAAUGAUAAUGGAAUCCUGAUUAGCUUCUCUUUAUAAACUGUCUGGAGUUUUCUGUGCGGAGUAAGUGUAUGGAUUGUUCUGUAUGCCUACAGUAGACAUGUCACCAGCCACUGCAAUUAAUUAAUCAAUCAAUCGAUCGAUCUACCUUGUAAGUAAUCACGUGCCUUUGUUCUGUCAGCGCCAAAGGCUGUAGUACAAAGGGAGCAAGGAAAAUAAUUAGAGUGACUCAGAAAUGAGUGAUGGUGAUCAUGAUGUGCUCAACAUACAUAAUUCAGUAUAUAUAAUCAUUACAUUAAAUAUCUCAACAUUAAUUUACAUUAUAUCAAGUAUCUAUAAUGUCAAGUGGUUAAAUUUAGCCCUAAUUAAACGAACAAACAUUUUAAAGCACCAAGUGUUGACAACUAUUUUUAAACUUGUAGAUAAUAAGCAAAUGUUUAUUAACUACCAGCAACAGGAACUUCCCUGUUUAUCAUUAUAACUAUAAAUUACAAAUGAAGAGGACUUUUAUAUUUUGAUGAAUGAUCCUCCCUCUACAAUUUGCGAAACAACCUCCAGCCACCGAGGGUGACAUACAAGACCGACAUUAUUGGAGUCUGUGCUAUUCUUCAUACCCGCUAUUCUUCUACUGAUAUGUGUGAUAGCUUAUCUACUACAGCAGUACAUUCGUCAACCACACUAAUAUACCGACUGUAACCAUGAUGAACUGAUGCUCCUCCUCUUUCAACACCAUCCUUGCCUCAUCGACACUCUCCUCUGUAUUCUUUAUCUCUGUAUCCUUUAGUUCAUCAUUUAUUUGUUUAUUCAGUAUUUUCAAAUGGUUCAAAAGGAGAAGGGAGAGAGAGAGAAG
This 1857-nucleotide long non-coding RNA is filed under the name Pomacea canaliculata. Its description in RNAcentral is "uncharacterized LOC112567868". Lineage: Eukaryota; Metazoa; Mollusca; Gastropoda; Architaenioglossa; Ampullariidae. The record is from RNAcentral.